RNAcentral lists this ribosomal RNA (545 nucleotides) under Scinax imbegue. RNAcentral describes it as "partial large subunit ribosomal RNA". It matches the Rfam family "Bacterial large subunit ribosomal RNA", at positions 1817 to 2575 of the family's 2925-position model. Lineage: Eukaryota; Metazoa; Chordata; Amphibia; Anura; Hylidae. The record is from RNAcentral.
CGCCUCUUGCAUAAAAAUAAGAGGUCCAGCCUGCCCAGUGACCCAUGUUCAACGGCCGCGGUACCCUAACCGUGCGAAGGUAGCGUAAUCACUUGUUCUUUAAAUGAGGACUAGUAUGAAUGGCAUCACGAGGGUUAUACUGUCUCCUUUUUCCAAUCAGUGAAACUGAUCUCCCCGUGAAGAAGCGGGGAUAAAUUUAUAAGACGAGAAGACCCUAUGGAGCUUUAAACCUCUCUUCAAGUGCCCGCUACCCUUCCCACCCCACUAACAUUUACCCGGCACUAUGAAGCUAAGUUUUAGGCUGGGGUGACCGCGGAGCACAAAAAAACCUCCACGUUGAACUAGGCCUCAAAACCUUGAUCAAAGGACUACAAUCCUAUGCACCAAAAAAUUUACACUCAUUGACCCACUCACAUGAUCAACGAACCAAGUUACCCUAGGGAUAACAGCGCAAUCUACUUCAAGAGCCCCUAUCGACAAGUGGGUUUACGACCUCGAUGUUGGAUCAGGGUGUCCCAUGUGGUGCAGCCGCUACUAAUGGUUCG